UCUGAUCGUCUGAGUCUGCCUCCCUGGGACUGAGGCGGAUCCAGAGGGCACAUCACAGCUGGACGCUCAGAACAGAGGCCCCGGGGCCAGCCAGGGUCCUUGGCCUGAGUCAUGGCAACAGAAGCCAAUCGAGCAGCCACAGUUACCCCCAGGUCUGGAGCUGAAGGGCUCCCUCCGUGGCAGGGCCUCAGCCACCCCCAGCCUGGCCAGACAGAUCAACCCCAGAAAGUCCCGCCCCAGGAGAAGCCCAGGAGGAGGAGCCGCCGUCUCAAGGAGCUGGGGGCCUGCCAUGUUGUCGUCGCUCUGCUGUACGUGUUCCUUGGGGGUUACCUGGCCGCCAUCGUCCAGAGCCUUCACCUGGUGGUGCUGAAGUCUUGGUAUCCGUUCUGGGGGGCUGCUUCUGUGAGUAGAGGCCAAAACAUUGGCCCAGUGGGGGUAGGGAGAGCUGGCGACCCUGGGAACCGGAUGCAGGGUGGGGCAGAGGGAGCCGGUAGGAGGACAGCAGCCUCAGCGCCUUUCUCAGUCCUCCCAGCUCUGCCUCUGCUCUCUUGGUCACACUGGAAGUAGCGCCGUCUCCUAAUUCACACGGGGGCCCAUCAGAGAGGAGGGUGAACAUGAGCUGGGGAGCUACCUGCAGCUUCUUCAGGCUUCUGGGCAGCCAGGCACCUCCGGAUCCAGCCACCCAUCCCUGGUGCCUAAAGUCUCUGUCAGGGUCCAGCUGCAGGGCACAAGGAUGUAAGGCCCAGCUCCGGUCCUCCCAAGGCCAUCAGCCAGGGCGGGCGAUGAGAGAAGGGCAGGGAGCACCUUCCCGGAGGCCCUCCAGGGUAUCCUCCCCACCCCCCACCCCCCGUCCUGGCAGGGUCCCACUCACACACCAAGUCCCAGCUCCUCAGCACCCCUCAGGCAGGUGUCCCAACUCUUCCUGCUGUCACUUCAGUCCUCUUUCCCCUCUGCACCCCACCCCCAGAGCUUUCAGUGCAUAGGGAAGGGAACCAUCUCUGCAUCACCUCGACUGGUGCAUAGCAGGCGCUCAGUGCACAUGUGAUAGAAUAAUUGCAGGAAAACACCAGAGACCCCAGAACCAAGAGCAAAUAUCCUCCAAACGACAGGACCCAGGAAAGGAGCAAGGGUCGGCGCAAAGGGGGCAGUGCAGCUGAUCCCCACGGGAGGGUCUGGGCUGGUAAAAGGGGGAAGCGAGGGGACCAGGAGGGCAUUCUUGAGCCCAGGAGAGAAGGUCCGUGCACACAGGGAAGACCAGCCUGGCUGGAGCGUGAUCUGUGGGCAGGGUGAGCCCCCUUUGUUGGAGGAAUGGUGUUCUCUGCCCCACCAGCCACCAGAGAUUGAUUUUCUAAGAGCAUAGCAGGAAGGGAAUGUGUGAGUUUCAAGGAACCCCAGCUUCUCUCUUAUGACUGUUUCAAAUCUGGUCCGCAGUUCCUCAUUUCAGGGAUCUUGGCAAUAACAAUGGAGACAUUUCAGAAAAAUUACCUGGUAAGUCACAGCGUUGAGAGUGUUCCCUUCCAUCCCAAGCCUGGGGUGACUUUUCAACGGGCAUCGUUUGGAGUGGGGACUCAAGAGGCAUCUCUCCAGGAUUUGCUAGACGUGGGCACCAGCCUCUGGGACAGCAGAGGGCGUCCGGGCUGAAUGGUCCCCCUUCCUGGAGUUCUGACCUCACACCCUGACUCCCGCCUUUCUCUCCACCUGCUGCCCUCUCCCCACCCCGGUUCUGGCCUAGAGACAGGCAUCAUCCAACCUGUUGAUGGUAGCCUUGGAGAUUGUUCUGCCAGCCCUACCUUGGCCCCCCUGGGCCCCGCCAUCAUACUCCCUACCCCACCCCACCCAAGGCUUGCCUCCAACAUCAGCAAGUCUACCUGCCUGCAGGCUGGACCACAGCUGGGUUUCCAUAUACGUCUCACCUCUAAGCGCCAGCUGGACACAAGUGGUCCCCCCUGUGCUCUGUGCUGUCUCGUGCCCAGACACCUUGCCUUUCCCCACUGUGCAUGUUCUCCUGGCUUUGACUUCCUCCUGAUCAUUCUUCAAGGCGUACUUUACAUGCCUCCUCCUCCAGGCAGUCUUCCCUGACCUGCCCUGGCUGGCUCCUGUGUCCCCACAGCUCCUUGGACUUCUCUGUCUCCUUUCUCUCUCAGGCACUAAGCUUGGGCAGCAACUGCCUGAGCAUCUUUCUAGCCCGAGGCAGCCCAGGGAGGCACAGAGUGGACACCCACAUGAGCCCAAGUGGAUGGAGGUGGAUGGGGGCGGGAAGGACCUUCCCAUCCACCCUGUGUCAUGGCCUCAGCACCCCCUCCACCCCCAAGCCCUGCCUGGGUCCACAUUCAUGCCUCCCAUUGCUGAUGAACGGGGAUGGCCUGUCUCUUCUGUGAAUUCACAGGAUCUGAUGGAAAAAAGGGAAGACUCGCCAUCCAGCUUCUCCACUUCCCACCACCUCCCUCUCCCCAAGGGGCAGGGCAGCCCAGGCAUGGUCCCUUGCUCCUCCCUGGCUUGUGCUCUGGCUGUCCCCACCGCCCUCUGUCCGCAGGAGCAGUCUUUGCUGGGGCUGGGGACGUGGAGUAUGGGGCAGGGUGUGGUGCAUCCGAGCUCGUUCAGCCAGGACGUGCGCAAAACUCAUCUCGGUCAAGCACCAAGGCCGGCUCACAUUCGUGCCUCCCAGACCGGGCUGGACUGGCUGCCCCCUGCCCUCUUGGGGUGUAGCAGACAAAAGCAUGUUGUGCCACUUACCCAGCAGAGGCAGGGAUGCUUGGCAGAAACCUGGCCAUUCCUCCUGGGCUGGGCCCCUUCCAGACCCAUAAGCCUACCCCUUCCUACACCUGAACGCGGGGAGCCUCUCAUUGCAGAGAAAUCCAUUCUAGCAUAAGAGGUUGGGGUGCCUUAUGUUUAUACCCUUUCCCCGUUAUAGGGGUUUGUACUUGGCAAGAAUCCCGUGGAAUAAGGUGAGACCCAAGACGAUGAGGAAUGAGGCAUUUCCGGGGCUAUGGCGGGCAGGGAAGGGGGUGACCUGAGUGAGUGAAGAUAGGGCACUUUCGGGGCUCAUCCCACCUGGGUCGGGGGGCCAUUUGGGUGUCGAGACUCUGAUCAGUUAGCAUAUCUGCUGCCAGGAUGACUGGGAACAGCUUGGAGAGAAAGACGGCAGAGCAGGGGGUGGGGCUUCCUUCCUUAUUGCAAAGCCUGUGGAUCCAGAGGUGGUCCUUGCAUUCUCUGGGUCCCAUCCCAUAGAAGGCGAGGGCCAGUUGGGGCUCCUCGUGGUCAGCCAGCUCAGAAAGCUGUGUGUGGGUGAACUUCUGGCCCAGAGACAGGCAGCAUUUUCCUGAGGUCACAAAGUGAGCUACUGGCUGGCCUGCGUGGAGGACCAAGGACUCAUCUCUGACCUUUGGACUACGGCUGUCACUUUUUUUUUGCUUGUAGGCGGCGUGCCUGACAGCAAAUGCCAUCAGCUUCUUCUGUGUGCUCUGUGGCCUCUUUGUCAUCGCCAAGGAUCUCUUUCUGGAGAGCCCAUUUGACUUCCCUGUCUGGAAACCAUACCCCAACGACACAGUCCACAUCCAGAGGCUGGUGCUGGCCCUGCUCUGCGUCACCUGCCUGGAGGUCUUCCUGCCGGGGCUCAUGGCCAUCCUGGCCUACAGGGAUACCCGCCUGGCUGCAGAGGUGAGGGCCUUCGGGAGAUGGGAAGCAAGGCUACAGAGGGCUCGGGAAGGGGAGCAUCAGGCAGAGGGAGUGUAGCCAGGCAUUUACUAAGUGGGACCACAAACAGAGGCCACCCACAGUCUGGUAGAGGAGAGAAGCAUGGGAGGAGGGGCAGUGCCAAUUCGAAGGGAAAAAUGUGGGGCCACUGAAGAGGACAAGGCCAUGGACACUCCAAACAAUGGGUUGCUAUGUUCUGCCCACCCCCUGUGAUCUCAUGGGGGAGAUCCAUGGAAGUUGGCAGGAUCCAGACCCAGACCACAGGUAUGACAGGACAGUGGGGAGUUCCCACUGUGUCUCAGCAGUAAGGAACCCAGCUAGUAUCCAUGAGGACGAGGGUUCAAUCCCUAGCUAGGCUCGUCUGGAUCUGGCACUGCUGUGGCUGUGAUUUGAUUCGACCCCUAGUCUGGGAACCUCCAUAUGCCAAGGGUGUGUUCCCCCCAAAAAGCCCCAAAAAACACCCCUCCAAAAAAGAUGGGAGAAGGACCAGCAGGUGCAAUGGCUGAGAGACAGGCCAGGAAAGGCUGUCAGUUGCAGCAUGUGGUGGGGUGUGGCUGUGAUGAGAGCCAGUGGGGCCGGGAUCACAGGGACUGAGCACCUCAGGGGUACCAGGCAGGUACUUUAGAGAAGCAUGACUUCUCUCAUCUUCCCAACCACCCUCCGAGGUAGGUACUGACUCCCCCAUUCCAUAAAUAAUUAAACCGAGACCUAGAGAGGUCACAUCAGUUUCAAAGAUCAAACAGCCAUGACAUCCAGGGCUCAGCCCGAGGUGUGUCUCACCCACACUUUUGUGAACUCAGGGGAUGGCAGAACAGCAGGCUGUGGCCAGAUAGGUUUGGAAAUCAAAGACAAGUCUCUCUCCAAUCCCAAAGGGAUUUCCCAGGCUCAUUUUUUUUUUAAAGGAAAAAAUUUCAUACUAUAAUCUUAACUUUAGGACACUAUUUUAAGACAUGUUCUAAAUUCCCUAUAAUUUGGCAGCUUUAGCACUGCAAUUGUUUUCAUAGGACAUCCAGCCACUGAAUUUUCACAUAAUGCUGAUAUGACUUUAGGCUUGAGUUUUACCUAACACCGAGCAAAUAAGUUGUCCUAGUCACUGCCUGUCUGGCAAGAAGUCUUCUUAUUAAGUUUUCAGAGAGCUGGAAGGGCCCUUGAGUCACUGACACCCACCCCACUUUUUAAAAAUAACAGCACAAUGAAUUCUAUUAUAUUUAUAGUUGCACAACCAUCAUCACAACCUAAUUUUAGAACAUUUCCAUCCCAAACCCCCAGUCCACGCCACUUUUAAGGACAGGGAACCUUAACACUGUUCAUCCUGGCGACAGGAAUUUACCAAGUGCAGGGCACUGUGCUGAGUGCUGCAGGCGGCUGUAUCAGUCACCUAUUGCUGCUGUAACAAAUGAGCAUAACAUCAAAUGACGCAAAUGCAUUAUCUGACAUUUCCGAGGUCAGCAUUUGCAACAGGUCUCACUGGGCUAAAAUCAAACCGUGUGGGCCAGGCUGCCUUCCUUUCUGGAGGGUCUGGUGGAGAGUCUGUCUCCUCGCCUUUCCCAGCUUCUAGAGGUCACCCACGUUCCCUUCCUCCCUCGUCAAAGCCAGCAGCCCAGCAUCCUCUGAUAUCUCCCUCCUGUCUCCCUCUUAUUCUGUGGAGGACCCCUGGGACAACGUUGUCCCACCCAGAGAAUCCAAAACACUCUCCCCAUCCCAACCUUCACCUGAUUGGCAACCUUCAUUCCCUUUUGCUGUGUAAUCUAACAUGGUCACAGGUUCAAGGGUGAGGACACAGACACCUCCUUGAACCUCACGACCACCCAGAGAGGCAGGUUCAGCUUUCCCAUUUCUAAGAGGAAGAAUGAGGCUCAGAAGGGCUAAGUGACUCCCCAUGGUGACAGAACAGUAAGUGGAUGAGUGCCCAAGGCCUCUGAGCCCCCUGCAUCUGGGAACUGUGGCUAAGGACAAGCCCUGCAGCUUCCUGUCAUACUCAAGGACAAGGACUCCGCAGGAUUAGACCUGCCCCUAGAAUGCAUUCUAGCCUCAAGGGACCUUGAUGUAUCAGCUGGCCCAGCCCUGGGGGAAGGGGACGGGGUGAGUGGUGUGGGGGGGUCAGUAGCAUAUGGGUCGGGGGCCUGGCAUGAGGGCCAGGUCCACUGCCUCCCUGCCCCUUCCCCAGCCUCUCCCUGGAUCAGGGAGGGGGAGGGAGUCACACACUGGUCUCCUGGAAGUCCCUCCAUCUCUCGAGCCUCAGUUCCCCCACCUUCAUGGGGACUCAACACUCCAACAAGUGAGCCGCUGGGAAGGGCUUUGUCAACCACCACUCUCUCCGUGUAUGUGAGCAGCAGGGAUGGUGGCUCUUCUUUUGCAGCAGGAUGACCUGUCCCUUGGCCCUGACAUGCUGUUGGAGCUCAGGGGGUCUCCGAUGACACCUCCACCAUCCUAUGACGAUGUGACUAAAGGCAACGGGUGGCAGGAGCAGAAGCAGAUGUGAAGAGGCACUGGCUCCACGCACCAUCAGAAUUCACCCACUGGUCCCUUGUCCCGGACAGAUUAAGGACCAAUUCCAAGGGGCGGUUACCAGAAGGGGGCAAAUGGUACCGUGGCUAAAAACGUCUGCCCCAUGCUGGUGGCCAGGGAGAGGAAGUCCCCAUUCUGUCUGGCAUGGGAGGGACCUCCAGGUCCCCACGCCCCAUAACAUCCCAGCUGGACCAGAACACAACUGGGUCCUGCCCACCCACCCAGGCAGACACGGGAACAGACCCCUGGGUCCGCAGCCCCCUCCCCCACCCUCCUUGUCUGCUUCCCCCAGUCCCUGGUGGGCACAUAGACAUCCUGUCCACGUGGGGCUGUGCCUGAAGAGGAGAAGGGUCCUCAGAGCCCAGAUGGGCACCGUUUUCCCUGGACUCGACCUACCAAGGGGUCUCUACAAACACUUGUGUUUGAAUCCCUGGAUUCGGGGUGGAGACAGCAGGGGCGAUCAGACAGAAACUAUGACCAGUUCUUCCUCCCAAACCAUCAGCAUGUCUCCCCGCCCCCACCCCGGGGCCUCAGUGUCUCCAUCUGUACAGGGAAGGGGCGGGCGGAAGAUGUGACCAGGACCUACCUGCUGGGAAGUUCUGAGAUCAGAGUCAAGUUCACUCAAGGUUAUCAAGGAAGCAUCAGCAUCAGAAUUCCACACCUCCUUGUGCUGAGCGAAUAGUGGGGAGAGAGACCUACCUUCCUCAUUUCCCAAUUUUCAGUCAUCCAAGGGCCAACCUUACAAAUUUGGUCUAUUUGUGGACUGUGCUGUAUUCCCUUUAUGUUCCCUUAAAUUGCCUUUUUUUCUCAUGCACUAUUAUGUGAGGGGUAAUUUGCAUCAGCAACAAACAGGAAGUCUGUACCUAUCCAUACAAAGAAGCCAACCACAAAAAUCACGUAAACACGGUAAAAAUAAAACAAAAGCAACUUGUCGC
RNAcentral lists this long non-coding RNA (7136 nucleotides) under Sus scrofa (pig). RNAcentral describes it as "lncRNA (ENSSSCG00050048828.1)". The record is from RNAcentral. Lineage: Eukaryota; Metazoa; Chordata; Mammalia; Artiodactyla; Suidae.